UGGGGGGCCGGAGGGCGGGCGGAGGAAGAGAAAGUCCACGUCCGCGUAGCGAAGGUGGAAACUUAAAGGAAAGGGAGAAAUGAGCCUGCCGCAUGCGUGUUGUUGAUCUGCACGAAUCCCGAUGACCCCGGGUUGAAUUAGGAAGGCGCCCCAAGCAAGUUCUGUAAUAUAACGAUGAGUGAAUGAAAUGUGCUAUGGGAACAUGUCAGUGUGUGAAUGAGGACACGUGCACUUAAAAAGAAAUAUCUUAUUGUCUGUUUAUAGGUGUUUUUGGGAGAAUAUAUAGGAAGAGUGUUUGUGUCUUCGAAUAAUGUAUAGAUAAUGCAUAGACAGCUGCAUUUAAGUGUGUACCAGAAAUAUGUACAUAUGUGUAGGCAUGUAUCUUUAUGUGCCUAAAUGUAAGAGGUGUGUGUGUGUGUGUGUAAGAUUCCCAUGGACUUCUCUGAGUUUUCAUUUAUGUGUAUGUAGAUGAAUUUGUGGGUUCAUGCAUGUGACCCCACAUCCUUGACUAUGUAUUGUUUUAGUGUGGCUGUAUUGUAUGUAUUUGUGUAUAUGGGAUCACAUGUGUUUUGUGAGAUCGUAUUCUGCUUGUGUAUAUGUGUUUGUGUAUAGGAGUACAUUUGUGAUCAGUCUGUGACCAGAGCUGCUGUGUAUCUUGACAGGUGUGUCUUUCAUGAGUGGGAGUGUAUGUGUUUUUCAGAGUCUAUGUGGAUAUGAUUCUGUAUGUGUCUUGAUGUACCUUUGAAGCCACCCACAGUUCAUCUUCAGUAAAGGCCACAUAGUUCUUAAAGGUUGGGCUGGUCACUGGGCGCAUGUCUGUAAUCCCAGCAGCUGGUGAGGCUGAGGCUGGGGGAUUGCGGGAUCAAAACCAGCUUCAGCUAAAGUGAGGCACUAAGCAACUCAGUGAGACCCUGUCUGUAAAUAAAGUACAAAAUAGGGCUGGGGAUGUGGCUCAGUGUUCGAGUGCCCCUAAAUUCAAUCCUUGGAACCUAAAAAAAAAAAAGUUGUGCUGGUCAAUGUGGCUUCUUGGAGGAGGAAACCCUUGGCAGGUGGGGACUGUGCAGGUAGGCAAAAGCCCUGCAUGCCUACUGAGCAGACUGUCCAGAGCAGUGGGUGGCGAGGUGAACAAUGCAGACUGUAGCAAGACAAGGGAAGGCCUUGAAUGCCAGAGCAGGUCACUGGGGCCUCCUCCAGCUUCCUCUGCCUUCUCAAGCUCUUGAUCUGCUUCUUUUAUAGUUUACCCUUGUCCAUGCUCUUUGGCUGAGCAAAUGUCCUUGGUACUUACCAAUGGCAACAUUAAAGAGGCACUACUAUAUGCCUGCCUCCAAAAAGCACUUAACAGGCCUUGGGUCCUCUAUGAGGCAGAAACUAAGCCCAGUUUUAAAGAAGGGAAGAGAGGUGGUUAAGUGCCUGUUCACAGUUACACAGCUGGGAAGGGUGCCUUAGAUUCCAGAAGCUCCGUGCUCUCUCCACCACUGUGUCUAGAGACACUUCCAAAAUCAUCCCAGAUUGAGAACCGCUGUGCUGGACUAACCUGCCUCCUUGGGUAAAUGUUUCCUUAGGGGCUUCACUAACUUUGCUGUGUCCAGUGGCUUCAGCUGUCUUCCUUUCUGUGGGAGCCGUACUUCCACACACAGUGGACCUUGUCUCUGCCACAUGCAAACCAGAGGCUUACAGCUGGGCCCCUUUAACCCAGCAACUCAACCUCUCUGUGCCCCAGCUACAGAAAAUAGGGCUUGACACCUUGUGGACACUUCACUCUUAGUAUCAUGCAAAUGACAGUGUGUCCCUGAGGUCAGAGCCUGGAGGAAGCACACCCAAGCCAGCUGACUUUCUCUGGCACAUAGCCGUGGAUGCUGCUUGAAGUUUGCUUUCUUAACUCAGCAAGAACACUGUUGCAGUGUUGGGCCCAAACUGGUCCCAUUUUAUGUUGUUAUUAGAGGUUAUACAAUUUCAUUUUUGCAAAUAAAACAGCUUGGCUUUCCUUCCGGCAGAACCUGAUUUUAAUGAGCAAGUCCUGCGUUUGUGGCCAGAGCAGGUGCUCAGGCAGGGCAAGCCGGAGCCAUCUGCAGGGCUGUCAGUGUGUCCAAACCUGGGCCCAGGCCUGGGUAGGGAGUCAGUGCUGCUGCAGGGCCCACCCCACCUGGCAGGGCAAGGCGUGGGGUGGCACAAAUAUUAAGAGUAUGGUGACUCUGUCACAUGUGCAAGAGGCCUGAGACUCCCACUAUUGACAAAAUACAGGGGACAAUGCUGGGAGGACUUCCAUGCCACUGCCGGUUCCUCUGGGGCACUUCCUUUCUACUUCCCCUCAGUCCCUGCAGCCUUCCUCGUGUUCAGUGGGCCAUCCGCUGCAGUCCUCCUGGAAGACCAGAACAAAGUGGUUAAAAGCAAUGGUUCAGGUGCCUGAUGACCCUAGGACAGGCAGGUCACCUCUUUCUGUCUCAGCUUCCUCAUUUCUAUAGUGGAGUUACUCAGAGAUCAUAUCUCAUGGGAUUAAAUGAGAUAGUCUGUGUAAAGCAUGUUGACCACAUGGUAAGCCUUUAAUAGCUGGAGAGUAACCCAAUAUUGCUAUUAUUCUUGGUUAGCAGUAAAAUGAGAAUAAGCAUUGAUAAUUCCAGGCACUGUGCUAGACUCUGGACAGAUCCUUUCUCAUUGGACCCCCCAACAACACUAUGAAAAAGGUUCUAUGUGAUCCCCAGAGCUGGGAAGAGAAAGCUCAGGUAUAGUGGUAUUAAGUAACUCACCCUGGGGGACAGUGAAGAAGCAGCAGUUCUGCAUCUGAAACAACUGUCACCGCAAAGCCUCCAUACCUGCUUCUCUCCACCAAAAGCUGAUUUCACCCUGGGCAGAAAGGGUCCAUCUCCAGCUGGGGUGUCCUGGGUAAGCUUGAGAGGAGUAGGAGGGUUGGCCCCAAGAAAUUAAAUGUUCUCUUUCCAGCUAUUCAUGGAACCAUAGUGACCCUGGUCUUGUGGCCUCUGAGGGGUACCGCCAAGUUUUUACUAGUGCGUAAAGUUUAUUUUUGUUACAAGGGUAUAGAUUGUUCUGGUGCUCUUUGUUUGAAUUGGACUGCAGGAAAGGUACAGAAAACCACCAACCUGCUGCUGGUAAAUUAGAUGCCAGGGAAAGACACGUGUUUACCUGGAGCUGUGAGGACUCGGCCAGGCCUUCAAUUGAUAGACCAGGCACCAACUUGUAUAUUGCCAUUUGCCAUUCCAGGAGGCAGAGAAGCUGGGAGUGACCAUGUGUGCUGAGAGCCAUUGCCAAGUAGGAAUGACGCAUCGAAAUUUC
Ictidomys tridecemlineatus (thirteen-lined ground squirrel) is the source of this 3288-nucleotide non-coding RNA. The record is from RefSeq and is a predicted model, not a curated record. Lineage: Eukaryota; Metazoa; Chordata; Mammalia; Rodentia; Sciuridae.